Paramuricea clavata is the source of this 314-nucleotide non-coding RNA. NCBI's taxonomy places the organism in Eukaryota, Metazoa, Cnidaria, Anthozoa, Malacalcyonacea, Plexauridae. The record is from the annotation of a GenBank genome assembly.
AAAGUUUGUUUCUUGCGACCAUCGUCGACUGCCACCUGCUUGAAAAAUCUAUGAGAAAUGAGUAAAAGUUGUUUUUUCCUCUACAAGCAAGGAAAUAAUCAAUUGAAGUUUGACAGAAAUAAUGAACUUUACGUUGAAUGGGGCCAUUUUGUAGGAAAUUUGGGAAAUUUCGAAACACAUCGGCUGUCAUCUGCGACGAUCACCGAUGUAUGAGAACUUUCGUGCAUUCGCGCUCGGCGAGUAUCGGCGAUAAGCGUCGCCGAUCGUCGGUGACAGUUUGCGAUGAAUGAGAACUAGGCUUUAGCGAUUUUAGU